GGUUUAGGGUUUUGGUUUAGGGUUUUAGGAUUUAGGGGUUUAGGUUUUAGGGGUUUAGGAUUAGGGUUUGGGGUUUGGUGUUUGGCAUUUGGGGUUUAGGAUUUGAAGUUUAUAGUUUAGGAUCUAGAGUUUAGGAUUUAGGGUUUUAGGUUUGAGGGUUUGGGAUUUGGGUUUGAGGCUUUGGAUUUAAGAUUUAGGGAUGAGGGUUUAGGG
RNAcentral lists this long non-coding RNA (213 nucleotides) under Elaeis guineensis (African oil palm). RNAcentral describes it as "long non-coding RNA (EGUI_LNC008921)". Lineage: Eukaryota; Viridiplantae; Streptophyta; Magnoliopsida; Arecales; Arecaceae. The record is from RNAcentral.